Molecule: ribosomal RNA, 440 nt
Filed under: uncultured bacterium
Lineage: Bacteria
Description: bacterial SSU rRNA
Rfam family: Bacterial small subunit ribosomal RNA
Source: RNAcentral
CCUACGGGGGGCAGCAGUGGGGAAUAUUGCACAAUGGGCGAAAGCCUGUUGCAGCGACGCCGCGUGAGCGAUGAAGGCCUUCGGGUCGUAAAGCUCUGUCCUAAGGGAAGAAUAAUGACGGUACCUUAGGAGGAAGCGCCGGCUAACUAUGUGCCAGCAGCCGCGGUAAUACGUAGGGGGCGGGCGUGAUCCGGAAUCACUGGGCGUAAAGGGUGCGUAGGCGGCCCUGCAAGUCAGGAGUUAAAUCCCUCGGCUCAACCGAGGUCAGCUCUUGAAACUGUAGGGCUUGAGUGCAGGAGAGGAGUUCGGAAUUCUUAGUGUAGCGGUGAAAGGCGUAGUUAUUAGGAUGAACACCAGUGGCGAAGGCGGCUCUCUGGACUGCAACAGACGCUGAGGCACGAGAGUGUGGGGAGCGAAGAGGAUUAGAGACCCCAGUAGUC